Long non-coding RNA from Pecten maximus, 333 nucleotides. RefSeq lists it as uncharacterized. Lineage: Eukaryota; Metazoa; Mollusca; Bivalvia; Pectinida; Pectinidae. The record is from RefSeq and is a predicted model, not a curated record. The transcript is spliced from 3 exons.
UUGGUGAAGUUUCGGUGUGGUAUUAGGUUUGAUUGGUGACGUUCCGGUGUGGUAUUAGGUUUGGUUGGUGACGUUUCGGUGUGGUAUUAGGUUUGGUUGGUGACGUUCCGGUGUGGUAUUAGGUUUGGUUGGUGAAGUUCCGGUGUGGUAUUAGGUUUGAUUUGGUGAAGUUUCGGUGUGGUAUUAGGUUUGAUUUGGUGAAGUUCCGGUGUGGUAUUAGGUUUGAUUUGGUGAAGUUCCGGUGUGGUAUUAGGUUUGAUUUGGUGAAGUUCCGGUGUGGUAUUAGGUUUGAUUUGGUGAAGUUCCGGUGUGGUAUUAGGUUUGAUUUGGUGA